GGACUGAGGGCGCGAGCAGAGCGGACACUCCAGACAGUGGCUUUACUACUGAGAUGAUAAGUAACUUGAGGUAAAGCUUUUAAAUUAAUUAUAUAUAUGUACCCAGGAUUACAUAUUGUUUGCAUGAGAAUAAUACAAUUAAUUUUGGUUUGUGUUGGUCCAAGUCACAUUUUUUUUUUUGCAGCCCACAUAAACUUAAACCUGGUUUAUCUGGCUCAAGUUGGCAUUCGAGUUUGACAUGCUUGGUGUACAGGAAUCUAUAAUCACCCCCUGCCUAUACCCACUGUCCUGAAACUAAUGGACCAUGGUAUAUUAGGUAUAUUAAGAUGGCCAGCAAAUAUAUAUAUAUUUUUUGUGUGUCC
Molecule: non-coding RNA, 362 nt
Organism: Pelobates cultripes (western spadefoot toad)
Lineage: Eukaryota; Metazoa; Chordata; Amphibia; Anura; Pelobatidae
Source: the annotation of a GenBank genome assembly